CAGAUCAAGCACCAGUGUAUGGUUCAGUUGUGAUAACGACGAACGGAGUUACCUUUCCACGGAGUUACCUUUCUUAUUUCAAUUCCCCAUAUAUGUACUUUCAAGGGGAUAUAUCGAAGUCUUACACGUUUAGGGAAAAAAAUGAUACACUGUACCCUCUGAUUGGAGUCUGCCUCAUGGCUCAGGUUACCCAUCCAAAACAGAAGCUUUUCCUUGUUCCCGUACAAAAUUGCACAACAAUACCAGGUGCUCGUGUUGUACCCGGCUUAAUAUACAAUCGCAGAUGUGCUAAAGUUACCGAUAAUACAGGAAUGUGCUUGGGAAUGGACAACGACAAGACCGCCUUUCUUUCAUUGCCUCCAUGUGGUUAUUUUACCGUAAUCAAUUAUCCAGUCAAACGAUCAC
This 405-nucleotide long non-coding RNA is filed under the name Paramuricea clavata. The record is from RNAcentral. Lineage: Eukaryota; Metazoa; Cnidaria; Anthozoa; Malacalcyonacea; Plexauridae.